AGUGGAUAAGGAUGUGAGGCUUCGAAGACAGCUAGGACGUUGGCUCAGAAGCAGCCAUGCAUUGAAAGAGUGCGUAAUAGCUCACUAGCCGAGAGGCCCUGCGCCGAAAAUGUCCGGGGCUGAAACGCGCCGCCGAAGCCCGGGACGGACGGGGAUGCCCGUCCGUGGUAGGGUAGCAUUGCCAGCCCGGCGAAGCCGCACCGGCGAGGAGCGGUGGAGGGCUGGGAAGAGAGAA
RNAcentral lists this ribosomal RNA (235 nucleotides) under Klebsiella oxytoca. Its description in RNAcentral is "partial 23S ribosomal RNA". It matches the Rfam family "Bacterial large subunit ribosomal RNA", at positions 1062 to 1294 of the family's 2925-position model. Lineage: Bacteria; Pseudomonadati; Pseudomonadota; Gammaproteobacteria; Enterobacterales; Enterobacteriaceae. The record is from RNAcentral.